RNAcentral lists this ribosomal RNA (305 nucleotides) under uncultured bacterium. RNAcentral's name for it is "bacterial SSU rRNA". It matches the Rfam family "Bacterial small subunit ribosomal RNA", at positions 334 to 636 of the family's 1533-position model. The record is from RNAcentral.
UCCGCCUACGGGACGCAGCAGUGAGGAAUAUUGGUCAAUGGGAGAGAUCCUGAACCAGCCAAGCCGCGUGAGGGAAGACGGCCCUAUGGGUUGUAAACCUCUUUUGUCGGAGAACAAAACCCGGGACGUGUCCCGGACUGCGUGUAUCCGAAGAAAAAGCAUCGGCUAACUCCGUGCCAGCAGCCGCGGUAAUACGUAGGUGGCAAGCGUUGUCCGGAUUUACUGGGUGUAAAGGGCGUGUAGCCGGGAAGGCAAGUCAGAUGUGAAAUCUGGAGGCUCAACCUCCAAAUUGCAUUUGAAACUGU